UUUCGAAAACAAACGAAUGAUACAAAACAGUAUACUGCAAGUGAACUGCAAUGAAAUUCUGCGUUGUUUUUGUUCAAAACAUGUAUAGCAUUCAUGCAGAAUAAGAUGAAAUGUCAUGAAUAAAACUAUUAUACUCGCGAAAUAGCAGUAAAUCGAUAUGAUCACUUAUAAAUUCACCAAAAAAAAACCUGACCUACUUUCGAAAAAAGUGGACCAAUUGACUCGGAAAAAACAGGAUCUUCGCCGGACACUAUACCUACUGUGUAAAUUAUAUUUUCAUAUCAGUGUUUUGUAGUAUUAGAUUUUAUAACAAUAUAGUCUAUUUGGUUUUUUUUAGUCAGAAACGUUUAGACAGAUUGUUAAGCAAAGAGAACAAUCGGCUGAAAUAGUUAAAUAUAAAAAAGAAGA
This 408-nucleotide long non-coding RNA is filed under the name Mytilus galloprovincialis (Mediterranean mussel). The record is from RNAcentral. Lineage: Eukaryota; Metazoa; Mollusca; Bivalvia; Mytilida; Mytilidae.